Molecule: unclassified non-coding RNA, 528 nt
Filed under: Microbotryozyma sp. C2-13
Lineage: Eukaryota; Fungi; Basidiomycota; Microbotryomycetes; Microbotryales; Ustilentylomataceae
Description: sequence contains ITS1, 5.8S rRNA gene, ITS2
Rfam family: 5.8S ribosomal RNA (bases 188-341)
Source: RNAcentral
GUGAUUAUAAGCGCAUCUUUUUUAACAAAGAGCGUGACCCUCACUUUUCAAACUCUGUGCACUUUUUUUUGGCAAAGGUUUAAGAAUUUUUCGGGUGCGGUUAACUCCAACCCGAAAGUUCUCUUUGCGGCUCAUUUUUUAAAAAACACUAUAGUCAGAGUAUGUAAUGAAAUUUAAUAACAAAAAAAACUUUCAACAACGGAUCUCUUGGCUCUCGCAUCGAUGAAGAACGCAGCGAAAUGUGAUAAGUAAUGUGAAUUGCAGAAUUCAGUGAAUCAUCGAAUCUUUGAACGCAUCUUGCGCUCGCUGGUAUUCCGGCGAGCAUGUCUGUUUGAGUGUCGUGAACUCUUCAACCCCCAAUUUUUUGUAAUGAAAUUUUGGAGUGGCUUGGUUUCUGAGCGUUUGCUGGAUUAGUAAUAAUCGAAGCUCGUUCGUAAUAAAUUAGCAUCCUUCUCUUCGAGAUCAGAUUGACUCGGCGUAAUAGACUAUUCGCUGAGGACAUUCCUAUUCUGGAAUGGCUGAACUUUU